CUGGUAGUCCACGCCCUAAACGAUGAAUGUUAGUCGUCGGGUAGCUAGUCUAUUCGGUGAUGCAGCUAACGCAUUAAACAUUCCGCCUGGGGAGUACGGUCGCAAGAUUAAAACUCAAAGGAAUAGACGGGGACCCGCACAAGUGGUGGAGCAUGUGGUUUAAUUCGAAGAUACGCGAAGAACCUUACCUAGCCUUGACAUAUAUUAGAACACCCUAGAGAUAGAGUGGUGCCUUCGGGAGCUUUUAUACAGGUGCUGCACGGCUGUCGUCAGCUCGUGUCGUGAGAUGUUGGGUUAAGUCCCGCAACGAGCGCAACCCUCGUCACUAGUUACUAACGGUUCGGCCGAGGACUCUAGUGAGACUGCCUUCGUAAGGAGGAGGAAGGUGAGGACGACGUCAAGUCAUCAUGGCCCUUACGGCUAGGGCAACACACGUACUACAAUGGCCAGGACAAUGAGACACGAUACCGCGAGGUGGAGCAAAUCUAUAAACCUGGUCUCAGUUCGGAUUGUAGUCUGCAACUCGACUACAUGAAGCUGGAAUCACUAGUAAUCGUAGAUCAGCUAUGCUACGGUGAAUACGUUCCCGGGUCUUGUACACACCGCCCGUCACA
RNAcentral lists this ribosomal RNA (614 nucleotides) under uncultured marine bacterium. RNAcentral describes it as "bacterial SSU rRNA". It matches the Rfam family "Bacterial small subunit ribosomal RNA", at positions 787 to 1401 of the family's 1533-position model. The record is from RNAcentral.